RNAcentral lists this ribosomal RNA (253 nucleotides) under uncultured bacterium. RNAcentral's name for it is "partial 16S ribosomal RNA". It matches the Rfam family "Bacterial small subunit ribosomal RNA", at positions 524 to 776 of the family's 1533-position model. The record is from RNAcentral.
UACAGAGGGUGCGAGCGUUGUCCGGAAUCACUGGGCGUAAAGGGCGCGUAGGUGGCGGCCCAAGUCCGUGGUGAAAGCUCGAUGCUUAACAUCGAGUCGGCCACGGAGACUGGGUGGCUCGAGCACUGUAGGGGCAGAUGGAAUUCCGGGUGUAGCGGUGGAAUGCGUAGAGAUCCGGAAGAACACCGGUGGCGAAGGCGGUCUGCUGGGCAGUUGCUGACACUGAGGCGCGACAGCGUGGGGAGCGAACAGG